GAGUUUGAUCAUGGCUCACGACGAACGCUGGCGGCGUGCUUAACACAUGCAAGUCGAACGAACUCGGACUUCGGUCCACAUGAGUGAGUGGCGAACGGGUGAGUAACACGUGAGAAACCUGCCCCGAAGUUUGGAAUAACUCAGGGAAACUUGAGCUAAUACCAAAUGCCCUCCUCCGAUCGAGUGAUCGGUUGAGGAAAGAUUCAUCGCUUCGGGAGGGUCUCGCGGCCUAUCAGUUUGUUGGUGAGGUAACGGCUCACCAAGACAUCGACGGGUAGCUGGUCUGAGAGGACGAUCAGCCACACUGGGACUGAGACACGGCCCAGACUCCUACGGGAGGCAGCAGUGGGGAAUCUUGCACAAUGGGCGAAAGCCUGAUGCAGCGACGCCGCGUGGGGGAUGAAGGCCCUAGGGUCGUAAACCCCUUUCAGCAGGGACGAAAAUGACGGUACCUGCAGAAGA
RNAcentral lists this ribosomal RNA (462 nucleotides) under uncultured Actinomycetes bacterium. RNAcentral's name for it is "bacterial SSU rRNA". It matches the Rfam family "Bacterial small subunit ribosomal RNA", at positions 9 to 488 of the family's 1533-position model. The record is from RNAcentral. Lineage: Bacteria; Bacillati; Actinomycetota; Actinomycetes.